RNAcentral lists this ribosomal RNA (253 nucleotides) under uncultured bacterium. Its description in RNAcentral is "partial 16S ribosomal RNA". It matches the Rfam family "Bacterial small subunit ribosomal RNA", at positions 524 to 776 of the family's 1533-position model. The record is from RNAcentral.
UACGUAGGGGGCAAGCAUUAUCCGGAUUUACUGGGUGUAAAGGGAGCGUAGACGGCAUAGCAAGUCUGAAGUGAAAGCCCGUGGCUCAACCGCGGAACUGCUUUGGAAACUGUUAAGCUGGGGUACUGGAGAGGCAAGCGGAAUUCCUAGUGUAGCGGUGAAAUGCGUAGAUAUUAGGAGGAACACCAGUGGCGAAGGCGGCUUGCUGGACAGAGACUGACGUUGAGGCUCGAAAGCGUGGGGAGCAAACAGG